GAUGAAGAACGUAGCGAAAUGCGAUACGUAAUGUGAAUUGCAGAAUUCAGUGAAUCAUCGAGUCUUUGAACGCACAUUCGCCCCCUGGUAUUCCGGGGGGCAUGCCUGUCCGAGCGUCAUUGCUGCCCUCAAGCACGGCUUGUGUGUUGGGCCUCCGUCCUCCUCCCGGGGGACGGGCCCGAAAGGCAGCGGCGGCACCGCGUCCGGUCCUCGAGCGUAUGGGGCUUCGUCACCCGCUCUUGUAGGCCCGGCCGGCGCUUGCCGACACAUCAAUCUUUUUUCCAGGUUGACCUCGGAUCAGGUAGGGAUACCCGCUGAACUUAAGCAUAUCAAUAAGCGGAGGA
Molecule: unclassified non-coding RNA, 344 nt
Filed under: soil metagenome
Description: partial contains 5.8S ribosomal RNA, internal transcribed spacer 2, and large subunit ribosomal RNA
Rfam family: 5.8S ribosomal RNA (bases 1-119)
Source: RNAcentral